RNAcentral lists this ribosomal RNA (252 nucleotides) under uncultured bacterium. RNAcentral's name for it is "partial 16S ribosomal RNA". It matches the Rfam family "Bacterial small subunit ribosomal RNA", at positions 524 to 776 of the family's 1533-position model. The record is from RNAcentral.
UACGGAGGAUGCGAGCGUUAUCCGGAUUUAUUGGGUUUAAAGGGUGCGUAGGCGGAUCGUUAAGUCAGUGGUCAAAUUGAGGGGCUCAACCCCUUCCCGCCAUUGAAACUGGCGAUCUUGAGUGGAAGAGAAGUAUGCGGAAUGCGUGGUGUAGCGGUGAAAUGCAUAGAUAUCACGCAGAACCCCGAUUGCGAAGGCAGCAUGCCGGCUUACUACUGACGCUGAAGCACGAAAGCGUGGGGAUCGAACAGG